RNAcentral lists this ribosomal RNA (492 nucleotides) under uncultured bacterium. RNAcentral describes it as "partial 16S ribosomal RNA". It matches the Rfam family "Bacterial small subunit ribosomal RNA", at positions 30 to 507 of the family's 1533-position model. The record is from RNAcentral.
AUUGAACGCUGGCGGCAUGCUUUACACAUGCAAGUCGAACGGUAACAGGCCUUCGGCUGCUGACGACUGGCGACCGGGUGCGUACUGCAGCGGAACGUGCCCAGAGGUGGGGGUUCACGCAGCGAAAGCUGUGCUAAUACCCCAUGUUAUCUGAUGAUGACUACGGGUGACCAAGCAGCAAUUUUUGGCCUCGCGCCUCUGGAUCGGCCGAUGUCGGAUUAGGUAGUUGGUGGGGUAAAGGCCUACCAAGCCGACGAUCUGUAGCUGGUCUGAGAGGACGACCAGCCACACUGGGACUGAGACACGGCCCAGACUCCUACGGGAGGCAGAAGUGGGGAAUUUGGGACAAUGGGGGCAAGCCUGAUCCAGCAAUGCGGCGGGGGGGAAGAAGGCCUUCGGGUUGUAAACCGCUUUUGUACGGAACGAAAAGGCUCUGGCUAAUACCUGGGGCUGAUGACGGUACCGAAAGAAUAAGAACCGGCUAACUACGUG